This 267-nucleotide ribosomal RNA is filed under the name uncultured Atopobium sp. Its description in RNAcentral is "partial 16S ribosomal RNA". It matches the Rfam family "Bacterial small subunit ribosomal RNA", at positions 89 to 354 of the family's 1533-position model. Lineage: Bacteria; Bacillati; Actinomycetota; Coriobacteriia; Coriobacteriales; Atopobiaceae. The record is from RNAcentral.
UAUAAAGUGGCGAACGGCUGAGUAACACGUGGGCAACCUGCCCUUUGCACUGGGAUAGCCUCGGGAAACCGAGGUUAAUACCGGAUACUCCAUAUUUGUCGCAUGGCGAAUAUGGGAAAGCUCCGGCGGCAAAGGAUGGGCCCGCGGCCUGUUAGCUAGUUGGUGGGGUAGUGGCCUACCAAGGCAAUGAUGGGUAGCCGGGUUGAGAGACCGACCGGCCAGAUUGGGACUGAGACACGGCCCAGACUCCUACGGGAGGCAGCAGGG